RNAcentral lists this long non-coding RNA (208 nucleotides) under Elaeis guineensis (African oil palm). RNAcentral describes it as "long non-coding RNA (EGUI_LNC062794)". The record is from RNAcentral. Lineage: Eukaryota; Viridiplantae; Streptophyta; Magnoliopsida; Arecales; Arecaceae.
AUGAGAUCACAUAAGAUGUUCGCUCUCCUUAUUAGGAGUGACUGAUCCCUUAUUGAUCACUCACAACCUCCAUGUACUCUUUACCAUAUCCAGAAUACCCCACAUAAGGAUCAAAGAACCAAGUUAGGAAGUGGACUAAAAUAUGGAUCUAAGCACACAAGGUACCAUGGUGAUCUCAGGUCAAAAGAUCACUUACACAACUCCCACU